GAGCCCUUAGCUCAGCUGGUAGAGCAACUGACUUUUAAUCAGUAGGCCGUUGGUUCGAACCCAACAGGGCUCACCA
RNAcentral lists this transfer RNA (76 nucleotides) under Hwanghaeella grinnelliae. RNAcentral describes it as "tRNA-Lys". It matches the Rfam family "tRNA". From Rfam's summary of the family: Transfer RNA (tRNA) molecules are approximately 80 nucleotides in length. Their secondary structure includes four short double-helical elements and three loops (D, anti-codon, and T loops). Lineage: Bacteria; Pseudomonadati; Pseudomonadota; Alphaproteobacteria; Rhodospirillales; Aestuariispiraceae. The record is from RNAcentral.